Vicia faba (fava bean) is the source of this 246-nucleotide non-coding RNA. Lineage: Eukaryota; Viridiplantae; Streptophyta; Magnoliopsida; Fabales; Fabaceae. The record is from the annotation of a GenBank genome assembly.
AUGUUGAUCGCUGUUUUUUUCUUCAUUAGUGGAGUUGCCUUCAAUGCUGCUGCUCAAAAUCUUGCCAUGCUUAUUGUUGGAAGAAUCUUACUUUGCGGUGUUGGUUUUGCUAAUCAGGCUGUGCCAAUGUUUCUUUCAGAAAUUGCUCCUUCAAGAAUACGUGGUGCUUUGAAUAUACUUUUCCGACUUAAUGUCACUAUUGGCAUUUUGUUUGCUAAUCUUGUCAAUUAUGGCACCAACAAGUAA